This 1553-nucleotide ribosomal RNA is filed under the name Vibrio natriegens. RNAcentral's name for it is "bacterial SSU rRNA". It matches the Rfam family "Bacterial small subunit ribosomal RNA". The record is from RNAcentral. Lineage: Bacteria; Pseudomonadati; Pseudomonadota; Gammaproteobacteria; Vibrionales; Vibrionaceae. RNAcentral also lists the same sequence under 2 other names.
AAAUUGAAGAGUUUGAUCAUGGCUCAGAUUGAACGCUGGCGGCAGGCCUAACACAUGCAAGUCGAGCGGAAACGAGUUAACUGAACCUUCGGGGGACGUUAACGGCGUCGAGCGGCGGACGGGUGAGUAAUGCCUAGGAAAUUGCCCUGAUGUGGGGGAUAACCAUUGGAAACGAUGGCUAAUACCGCAUGAUGCCUACGGGCCAAAGAGGGGGACCUUCGGGCCUCUCGCGUCAGGAUAUGCCUAGGUGGGAUUAGCUAGUUGGUGAGGUAAGGGCUCACCAAGGCGACGAUCCCUAGCUGGUCUGAGAGGAUGAUCAGCCACACUGGAACUGAGACACGGUCCAGACUCCUACGGGAGGCAGCAGUGGGGAAUAUUGCACAAUGGGCGCAAGCCUGAUGCAGCCAUGCCGCGUGUGUGAAGAAGGCCUUCGGGUUGUAAAGCACUUUCAGUCGUGAGGAAGGUAGUGUAGUUAAUAGCUGCAUUAUUUGACGUUAGCGACAGAAGAAGCACCGGCUAACUCCGUGCCAGCAGCCGCGGUAAUACGGAGGGUGCGAGCGUUAAUCGGAAUUACUGGGCGUAAAGCGCAUGCAGGUGGUUUGUUAAGUCAGAUGUGAAAGCCCGGGGCUCAACCUCGGAAUAGCAUUUGAAACUGGCAGACUAGAGUACUGUAGAGGGGGGUAGAAUUUCAGGUGUAGCGGUGAAAUGCGUAGAGAUCUGAAGGAAUACCGGUGGCGAAGGCGGCCCCCUGGACAGAUACUGACACUCAGAUGCGAAAGCGUGGGGAGCAAACAGGAUUAGAUACCCUGGUAGUCCACGCCGUAAACGAUGUCUACUUGGAGGUUGUGGCCUUGAGCCGUGGCUUUCGGAGCUAACGCGUUAAGUAGACCGCCUGGGGAGUACGGUCGCAAGAUUAAAACUCAAAUGAAUUGACGGGGGCCCGCACAAGCGGUGGAGCAUGUGGUUUAAUUCGAUGCAACGCGAAGAACCUUACCUACUCUUGACAUCCAGAGAACUUUUCAGAGAUGAAUUGGUGCCUUCGGGAACUCUGAGACAGGUGCUGCAUGGCUGUCGUCAGCUCGUGUUGUGAAAUGUUGGGUUAAGUCCCGCAACGAGCGCAACCCUUAUCCUUGUUUGCCAGCGAGUAAUGUCGGGAACUCCAGGGAGACUGCCGGUGAUAAACCGGAGGAAGGUGGGGACGACGUCAAGUCAUCAUGGCCCUUACGAGUAGGGCUACACACGUGCUACAAUGGCGCAUACAGAGGGCGGCCAACUUGCGAAAGUGAGCGAAUCCCAAAAAGUGCGUCGUAGUCCGGAUUGGAGUCUGCAACUCGACUCCAUGAAGUCGGAAUCGCUAGUAAUCGUGGAUCAGAAUGCCACGGUGAAUACGUUCCCGGGCCUUGUACACACCGCCCGUCACACCAUGGGAGUGGGCUGCAAAAGAAGUAGGUAGUUUAACCUUCGGGGGGACGCUUACCACUUUGUGGUUCAUGACUGGGGUGAAGUCGUAACAAGGUAGCGCUAGGGGAACCUGGCGCUGGAUCACCUCCUUA